UGUUUAGAAGAGAUGCAUUUAUUAGAUAAAAACCAAUGCAUGCUUUUAUAGUAUGAAUGUUGGUGAUUUACAAUAACUUAGCAAAUCGCAUAGUGUAAACAGGCGAUAAAUCAUUCAAGUUUCUGACCUAUCAGCUUUCGACGGUAUGGUAUUGGCUUACCGUGGCAGUGACGGUUAACGGGGGAUUAGGGUUCGAUUCCGGAGAGGGAGCCUGAGAAACGGCUACCACAUCUAAGGAAGGCAGCAGGCGCGCAAAUUACCCAAUUCUAACAGCAUAAGAGAGGUAGUGACAAGAAAUAACAGUACAAGGCAGUUAAAAUGCUUUGUAAUUGGAAUGAUGGAAAUUUAAACACUUUUUAGAGUAUCAAUUGGAGGGCAAGUCUGGUGCCAGCAGCCGCGGUAAUUCCAGCUCCAAUAGCGUAUAUUAAAAUUGUUGCAGUUAAAAAGCUCGUAGUUGAAUUUCUGUUAAAAAUAACCGGUCUGCUUUUAAUAAAAGUAGUAUCUUGGUGUGUUUUUAGCAAUAAUGUCCUUUGAAAUGUUUUUUACUUUAUUGUAAUAAAUUAUAUUCAGGAUUUUUACUUUGAGAAAAUUAGAGUGUUUCUAGCAGGCUAAUGCUUUGAAUACUGCAGCAUGGAAUAAUAAG
This 643-nucleotide ribosomal RNA is filed under the name Hepatozoon sp. RNAcentral describes it as "bacterial SSU rRNA". It matches the Rfam family "Eukaryotic small subunit ribosomal RNA", at positions 189 to 821 of the family's 1831-position model. The record is from RNAcentral. RNAcentral also lists the same sequence under 1 other name. Lineage: Eukaryota; Apicomplexa; Hepatozoidae.